AUAGUUUGAAAUUAAUUAUUUUGCCUAAUUUAUUUGGUUGCUGUCUACUUUGACUUUGUCUGCAACAUAGAUGCUGAUGGCACUUUGAUGAGUUUUCCCACAUACCAUUGCCCAUGUAUCGAGCCUAAUUGGUGUAUAAGAUGUCAACUCAAUUCAAGUGGCUAAUGUGUUUCCUUUGGAUUUUUGUCGACUUCCAAAGUAGAUUUAGAAAUCCUUUUGGUUUCUGCAUAGUAAUUUGGUGUCCUUUCAAUGAGACCAAUAUUACAUGCAGUUUUCAAGAUCUAAAGCGGACAGGAAUUACAGUAUGUAAUUGAAGAGAUAUCAAGGAUUCGUAGUUGGAAUAUAAUAUAGAGCUAGGAUAGUUGGGGCAUUCAGAGCAACAUAGAGACCUUGGGUACUGCAGGCGCAUUAGAGCGGAGGAGG
Molecule: long non-coding RNA, 423 nt
Filed under: Nicotiana benthamiana
Lineage: Eukaryota; Viridiplantae; Streptophyta; Magnoliopsida; Solanales; Solanaceae
Description: long non-coding RNA (NBEN_LNC002886)
Source: RNAcentral